RNAcentral lists this long non-coding RNA (221 nucleotides) under Phascolarctos cinereus (koala). Its description in RNAcentral is "lncRNA (ENSPCIG00000036220.1)". Lineage: Eukaryota; Metazoa; Chordata; Mammalia; Diprotodontia; Phascolarctidae. The record is from RNAcentral.
AAAAAAAUAGCAAUGCACUGCGUGAUCUAGGGCCAUCUCCUCUCAAAAUCACUGCACCAUGGAGCCGAGACCACCCUCCUGAACAGCUGGGUUUAAAUCCUAGGUCUGACACUACCUGUCCAACACUGGGCCCAUCGGACCCAAAGACCACAAAGUGAAGUUCUAUCAUUCAUUUCUCCCAACAGAUCUGUCCCAACCUGAGCUUUGAGCAACCCUCCAGG